CUGAGAACAUUUCCUACUCUCUGCUGCACAAAACAAAACAACAUACACGCUCACCUCCUCUAAAAGAUCUUUAUAGUGCCAUAAUAUAAUUAAUCACCACUUUGUUUUCAAUUUAUUCUACUUGAGUUCAUGAGUUUCAUUCUUCAAUUUUAGCCUUGCUAUUUCAAAUACAUCUAAAGCCAUUGCCAAUCACAAUUGAGCAAGAAAAGUGUAACCUACCCUCUCUACAUAACUCACGUCAAACUCCUCUUGUUAGACCAGAAAAGAAAAAACAUAAAUUUGUGAUUAUACUCUUUGGCAUGUGGUCCUUUCUUUACUAUCUGCAAACAACAAAGUUUUAGAGACAACCAAGCCCUUAUUAUAUUCUUGCGACACAAACCCCUUUUCAUAAGUCAAUCAAGCCACUCCUUUCUUCUCUUUUUAAAAUUCAUGGAAGUCUAAGAAUUGCGACUACGGCUUCGUUCACCGUCCGAUUGAGCUAAUUUUUGGAAAGCGUGUUCCCAACAUGCGGUUCUUCAAUUUCAACGGUCCGAUCGUCAAACUAUCUCCUGGAGUGAGAGAAAACGUGUCUUCACCGUAGCUGUGAGUUUGAGGUGGUUUAGAGUUCGACUAGAAAGAAAAGCUCUCGAGGUACCAAAGAAGAGAUGUUCUAUGAUUUGAAGUUUUUGCUUGAAGUGCGUACGUGGGACAAAUUGAGUUUUUUAUUUGAAUUGUAAUUUUGAAGGAAAUUUAUGUUGAGAAUUUUUGUAUAGGUUUUUAUUAAGAAUUUUUUAAUAAUGAUUAAACAAAACAAAAAAAUAGUUGUGAUUUUCUAAAAAUGAGAAUGAUUUAGGCGUAAUGUCUUGGACCAAAAUCCGAGGCGUUACAAUAUGUGUACUUCUUUUAUGUAUUUCUUUUUAAGAAACUUGUUUAAGUGUGUUA
Molecule: long non-coding RNA, 921 nt
Organism: Medicago truncatula (barrel medic)
Lineage: Eukaryota; Viridiplantae; Streptophyta; Magnoliopsida; Fabales; Fabaceae
Exons: 3
Source: RefSeq, a predicted model, not a curated record